GAUGAAGAACGUAGCGAAAUGCGAUAAGUAAUGUGAAUUGCAGAAUUCAGUGAAUCAUCGAAACUUUGAACGCACCUUGCGCCCCUUGGUUAUUCCAAAGGGCAUGCCUGUUUGAGUAUCAUGAACACCUCAACUCUUGUGGUUUCCCACAAUGAGCUUGGACUGUGGAGGUUUUGUUGGCCCUGUGGUCAGCUCCUCUCAAAUGGAUCAGCUUACCGGUGUUUGGUGGCAUUACGGGUGUGAUAACUAUCUACGCUCGUGGUCGUCUCCAAAUAACCUCCAGUGAUGGAGGUUCGCUGGAGCUUAUAAAUGUCUCUCCCCAGUGAAGACAGCCUUUGAACGUUCGAUCUCAAAUCAGGUAGGACUACCCGCUGAACUUAAGCAUAUCAAUAAGCGGAGGA
Molecule: unclassified non-coding RNA, 401 nt
Filed under: soil metagenome
Description: partial contains 5.8S ribosomal RNA, internal transcribed spacer 2, and large subunit ribosomal RNA
Rfam family: 5.8S ribosomal RNA (bases 1-121)
Source: RNAcentral